This 800-nucleotide long non-coding RNA is filed under the name Fukomys damarensis (Damara mole-rat). RNAcentral describes it as "lncRNA (ENSFDAG00000025179.1)". Lineage: Eukaryota; Metazoa; Chordata; Mammalia; Rodentia; Bathyergidae. The record is from RNAcentral.
GGACUACAGAUUCAUGUGUCUACAGAGGCAGGCAAGAACUGGGGAAGGUUAGGUGAGCUGCUGGAGUCUGAGGAGAACAGAGACUCCAGUCUUCUGCUACCGAGAUCAGUGGACUUGUUGGCCUUUCCUCAGCAAAAUUUGGCAAUUCACUUAGAAAGCAUGAAGUCCGAGUGGGCUAAACAAAACAUGUCUACAGGAGGCCUAGUACGGCCUACAGUACCUUGAUUAUGACCUCUGGAUUCUAGAAGCCUUAGGGAUAUCACAUCACUUGCAAGAGUCAUUAAGGUGUUAGAGAUGAGCCCAAACCAACAAGAGUCAGAGGGGAGAACUUAUCUCAUAUUGGAGGCAUAUUAUACAAUGAAUAAGACUCUCCAGCCAACUCUUCAGUGAUAGCUGAUGUGGAUAAAUUGCACAGAAGGAAUGUUUCUGCUCUCUUCUUGGGCUCUGUCUCUGACGGAUGGAACGGCAAAGACAAGCAGUGUAGCGAGGUUGUGGAUAUCUUUACUGAGCACUUGUCAGGGCCUUCACAUCUAUAAUCUCAUUCACAUUUUACAGCCGGUGGUACUUAUGUUCUGCUACUUAUGAGAAUCACCUGGGGAAAGUUUUCAGUAAAUUCCAGGCUGCAUACGAGGUCAAAUCCCAAAUCUUCAGUAUUUUAUGAGCUCCCAGGACAUUCCCAUUUGCAUUCAGGGAAACAAUCACUGCUCACAGAAGCCUUCUUUCUACAAUGGAUUCUAAAAGGAAAUCAUGAAUUGCAUCUUGAGAAAAGAAAGCUGAGUUUGGCACUCAUACAGGGGUAA